GUCGCAGGGGUCGGCGCACGACGAGAUCGACUUCGAGUUCCUGGGCAACGCGAGCGGGCAGCCCUACACGGUGCACACCAACGUGUACAGCCAGGGCAAGGGCGGCCGGGAGCAGCAGUUCCGCAUGUGGUUCGACCCCACCGCCGACUUCCACACCUACUCCGUCCUCUGGAACCCCACACACAUCCUGUACGUAGUAUGCAGACGGCGUCGGUCUCUCUCUCUCUCUCUCUCUUCAACCUCUUGUCGACGCAGGACAAGACCUCAUGCAUGAAUGAACCCGUUUCUCCGCAUGCAGGUUCUACGUGGACGGGACGCCGAUACGGGAGCACCGCAACCGGGAGGCGGCGACGGGGGUUCCCUACCUGCGGAGCCAGGCGAUGAGGGUGUACGCGAGCGUGUGGGACGCGGAAGAGUGGGCGACGCAGGGCGGGCGGGUGAGGACGGACUGGUCGCGGGCGCCGUUCGUGGCGUCGUACAAGGGGCUCGCCGCGAGCGGGUGCGCGUCGCAGGACGCGGCGGCGUGCGCCAACUCCAACGGCGCGUGGAUGUACCAGGAGCUGGACGCCACGGCGUUGGACCGCCUCCAGUGGGUGCAGAAGAACUACAUGAUCUACAACUACUGCACGGACACGUGGAGGUUCAAGGACGGCGCCCCGCCCGAGUGCGCCAGCAAGUAGAAUGUCUUGUCUUGUGGCGACGUUGCCG
RNAcentral lists this long non-coding RNA (708 nucleotides) under Hordeum vulgare. Its description in RNAcentral is "long non-coding RNA (HVUL_LNC020191)". The record is from RNAcentral. Lineage: Eukaryota; Viridiplantae; Streptophyta; Magnoliopsida; Poales; Poaceae.